Non-coding RNA from Podarcis lilfordi (Lilford's wall lizard), 69 nucleotides. The record is from the annotation of a GenBank genome assembly. Lineage: Eukaryota; Metazoa; Chordata; Lepidosauria; Squamata; Lacertidae.
GCUAUAGCUCAGUGGCAGAGCCUCUGCUUUGCAUGUAGAAGCUCCCGGGUUCAAGUCUCAGCAUCUCCA